CGCCGAAGUUCCUCCGAUGACUCGGCGGGCAGCUUCCGGGAAACCAGAGCUUUUGGGUUCCGGGGGAAGUAUGGUUGCAAAGCUGAAACUUAAAGGAAUUGACGGAAGGGCACCACCAGGAGUGGAGCCUGCGGCUUAAUUUGACUCAACACGGGAAAACUCACCAGGCCCGGACACCGGAAGGAUUGACAGAUUGAGAGCUCUUUCUUGAUUCGGUGGGUGGUGGUGCAUGGCCGUUCUUAGUUGGUGGAGCGAUUUGUCUGGUUAAUUCCGAUAACGAACGAGACUCUAGCCUACUAACUAGGCGUACCCGGUAUCCACAAUCGUGCUACCGGCGAUCAUAUUUCUUCUUAGAGGGACAGGCGGCUUCUAGCCGCACGAGACUGAGCAAUAACAGGUCUGUGAUGCCCUUAGAUGUCCUGGGCCGCACGCGCGCUACACUGAAGGAAUCAGCGUGUCUUCCCUGUCCGAAAGGACCGGGUAACCCGCUGAACCUCCUUUGUGCUAGGGAUUGGGGCUUGCAAUUGUUCCCCAUGAACGAGGAAUUCCCAGUAAGCGCGAGUCAUAAGCUCGCGUUGAUUACGUCCCUGCCCUUUGUACACACCGCCCGUCGCUACUACCGAUUGAAUGAUUUAGUGAGGUCUUCGGACUGGUGCGCGGAGGCGCUCUCGCGGUCCCCGAUGUUGCCCGAAAAAAUACCAAACUUGGUCAUUUUAAAGAAAAAAAGUCGUAACAAGGGUU
This 741-nucleotide ribosomal RNA is filed under the name Eusarima sp. 4 YS-2012. RNAcentral describes it as "SSU rRNA". It matches the Rfam family "Eukaryotic small subunit ribosomal RNA", at positions 1055 to 1802 of the family's 1831-position model. Lineage: Eukaryota; Metazoa; Arthropoda; Insecta; Hemiptera; Issidae. The record is from RNAcentral.